UACGUAGGGUGCGAGCGUUGUCCGGAAUUAUUGGGCGUAAAGAGCUUGUAGGCGGUCUGUCGCGUCUGCUGUGAAAAUCCGGGGCUCAACCCCGGACUUGCAGUGGGUACGGGCAGACUAGAGUGUGGUAGGGGAGACUGGAAUUCCUGGUGUAGCGGUGAAAUGCGCAGAUAUCAGGAGGAACACCGGUGGCGAAGGCGGUUCUCUGGGCCUGUACUGACGCUGAGGAGCGAAAGCGUGGGGAGCGAACAGG
RNAcentral lists this ribosomal RNA (253 nucleotides) under uncultured bacterium. Its description in RNAcentral is "partial 16S ribosomal RNA". It matches the Rfam family "Bacterial small subunit ribosomal RNA", at positions 524 to 776 of the family's 1533-position model. The record is from RNAcentral.